Molecule: ribosomal RNA, 482 nt
Filed under: uncultured Gammaproteobacteria bacterium
Lineage: Bacteria; Pseudomonadati; Pseudomonadota; Gammaproteobacteria
Description: bacterial SSU rRNA
Rfam family: Bacterial small subunit ribosomal RNA
Source: RNAcentral
AUUGAACGCUGGCGGUAUGCUUAACACAUGCAAGUCGAACGCGAAAAUUCCUUCGGGAAUGAGUAGAGUGGCGGACGGGUGAGUAAAACGUAGGAAUCUGCCCUUUUGUGGGGGACAACCUGGGGAAACCCAGGCUAAUACCGCAUAAGCCCUACGGGGGAAAGCGGGGGACCUUCGGGCCUCGUGCGAAAGGAUGAGCCUACGUCGGAUUAGCUUGUUGGUGAGGUAAUGGCUCACCAAGGCGACGAUCCGUAGCUGGUCUGAGAGGAUGAUCAGCCACACUGGGACUGAGACACGGCCCAGACUCCUACGGGAGGCAGCAGUGGGGAAUAUUGGACAAUGGGCGAAAGCCUGAUCCAGCAAUACCGCGUGGGUGAAGAAGGCUUGCGGGUUGUAAAGCCCUUUCAGUAGGGAGGAUGGGGUGACAUAUUAAUACUAUGUCGCCUUGACGUUACCUACAGAAGAAGCACCGGCUAACUCCG